AUCGUCCUGCGCGGAGUCGAUCGCACCCGAACCAACGGGUCAGGGAAUCCGGUUCGAAAUCCGGAGCUGACGCGCAGCGGUAGGGAUGCGCGAGACGACGCUUUGCCACUGGACAGCACGUCUGGGAAGGCCGUCGUCCCGACCGCAUCCGAGCCCGAAGACCUGUCGCCUCCGCCCGCACGGG
RNAcentral lists this non-coding RNA (184 nucleotides) under Conexibacter woesei. RNAcentral also lists the same sequence under 1 other name. The record is from RNAcentral. Lineage: Bacteria; Bacillati; Actinomycetota; Thermoleophilia; Solirubrobacterales; Conexibacteraceae.